UACGUAGGGUGCAAGCGUUAAUCGGAAUUACUGGGCGUAAAGGGCUCGUAGGCGGCCAACUAAGUCAGACGUGAAAUCCCCGAGCUCAACUCGGGAACUGCGUCCGAUACUGGCGGGCUUGAAUCCGGGAGAGGGAUGCGGAAUUCCAGGUGUAGCGGUGAAAUGCGUAGAUAUCUGGAGGAACACCGGUGGCGAAGGCGGCAUCCUGGACCGGCAUUGACGCUGAGGCGCGAAAGCUAGGGGAGCAAACGGG
Molecule: ribosomal RNA, 253 nt
Filed under: uncultured bacterium
Lineage: Bacteria
Description: partial 16S ribosomal RNA
Rfam family: Bacterial small subunit ribosomal RNA
Source: RNAcentral